UUCGGAAGGCUUUCGUUCGAUGAGGUGGCACACCGGUUCGGUGGGUGAGAAUGUAGGCUGAUGCAGCACGGGAUAGUCUGUUUCGUUUAAACACAAAGGAAUCUUCUAACAAACAGUUACAACUGGCUUGCUUCUUUGCUGCGAAGUUAAACUCGCCCUGUAUUGGCGUUAAGUUCUUCGACAUUUUCGUCAUUGACAAAGCUCAUAUUCUCACGAUGUUUGGCAUUCUAAUUACCUACACUUUACUAAUACUACAGUUCGACGCUUCUGUGAUGAAAUCGAAGAGAGAGACGACCACUACGAUGGCCACAUCAUUCGCCACUUCCGGGGAACCAGUGACAUCUUCACUCGUUUGAAGCAAUCAAGAUGUUAGCCAGCGCUGACAUUCAUGUCCAGU
Long non-coding RNA from Liolophura sinensis, 397 nucleotides. RefSeq lists it as uncharacterized. The record is from RefSeq and is a predicted model, not a curated record. The transcript is spliced from 4 exons. NCBI's taxonomy places the organism in Eukaryota, Metazoa, Mollusca, Polyplacophora, Chitonida, Chitonidae.